Molecule: ribosomal RNA, 373 nt
Filed under: uncultured bacterium
Lineage: Bacteria
Description: bacterial SSU rRNA
Rfam family: Bacterial small subunit ribosomal RNA
Source: RNAcentral
GUGAACGCUGGCGGCGUGGCUUAGGCAUGCAAGUCGAACGAGAAAGGCUUCGGCCGAGUAGAGUGGCGAAAGGGUGAGUAAUGCAUAGAUAACCUACCCUCGGGACUGGAAUAACCGCUGGAAACGGCGGCUAAUGCCAGAUGGACUGGUCGGGCGGCAUCGUCUGUCCAGUAAAUGGUAGCUUCCGGGCCUCUGCCCGGGGAGGGUCUAUGGUCCUAUUAGCUAGUUGGUGAGGUAACGGCUCACCAAGGCAACGAUGGGUANCCGGACUGAGAGGUUGACCGGCCACACUGGGACUGAGACACUGCCCAGACUCCUACGGGAGCUGCAGUCGAGAAUCGUUCCGCAAUGGACGCAAGUCUGACGGGCGACG